UAAACAGGGCUCAAUUAUUAGAGCGAGAUAACGAGUACGGUCAAUUGAGGGACCACAACCAGGAUCAUACCGGAGAUGGCAGUCAACAAAACAACGAUAACCAGCGGAGAAAGAAAAAGACGGACAAAAAUGGUAACCACUCUGGUGGUAAUCAUGGCCAUGAGAAUAGAAGAAGCGAAUCGGGAGGAGAUUUUAAAAAGAGGAGAUU
Molecule: long non-coding RNA, 208 nt
Filed under: Panax ginseng (ginseng)
Lineage: Eukaryota; Viridiplantae; Streptophyta; Magnoliopsida; Apiales; Araliaceae
Description: long non-coding RNA (PGIN_LNC009429)
Source: RNAcentral